UACGUAGGUGACAAGCGUUGUCCGGAUUUACUGGGCGUAAAGAGCGCGCAGGCGGUCGUUCAAGUCGAGUGUGAAAGCCCCCGGCUCAACUGGGGAGGGUCACUCGAUACUGAUCGACUCGAAGGCAGGAGAGGGUAGUGGAAUUCCCGGUGUAGUGGUGAAAUGCGUAGAUAUCGGGAGGAACACCAGUGGCGAAGGCGACUACCUGGCCUGUUCUUGACGCUGAGGAGCGAAAGCGUGGGGAGCGAACAGG
This 253-nucleotide ribosomal RNA is filed under the name uncultured bacterium. RNAcentral's name for it is "partial 16S ribosomal RNA". It matches the Rfam family "Bacterial small subunit ribosomal RNA", at positions 524 to 776 of the family's 1533-position model. The record is from RNAcentral.